This 72-nucleotide transfer RNA is filed under the name Gemmata obscuriglobus. It matches the Rfam family "tRNA". Rfam says of the family: Transfer RNA (tRNA) molecules are approximately 80 nucleotides in length. Their secondary structure includes four short double-helical elements and three loops (D, anti-codon, and T loops). Further hydrogen bonds mediate the characteristic L-shaped molecular structure. tRNAs have two regions of fundamental functional importance: the anti-codon, which is responsible for specific mRNA codon recognition, and the 3' end, to which the tRNAs corresponding amino acid is attached (by aminoacyl-tRNA synthetases). tRNAs cope with the degeneracy of the genetic code in two manners: having more than one tRNA (with a specific anti-codon) for a particular amino acid; and 'wobble' base-pairing, i.e. permitting non-standard base-pairing at the 3rd anti-codon position. Lineage: Bacteria; Pseudomonadati; Planctomycetota; Planctomycetia; Gemmatales; Gemmataceae. The record is from Rfam by way of RNAcentral. RNAcentral also lists the same sequence under 5 other names.
UCCCCGAUAGCUCAACGGUAGAGCGAGCGGCUGUUAACCGCUAGGUUCUUGGUUCGAAUCCAAGUCGGGGAG